AUACGGAGGGUGCAAGCGUUACUCGGAAUCACUGGGCGUAAAGCGCGCGCAGGCGGCUUGAUAAGUUGGAUGUGAAAGCCUACGGCUCAACCGUAGAACUGCAUCCAAAACUGUCAAGCUAGAGGCUGGGAGGGGAAGAUGGAAUUAGUUGUGUAGGGGUAAAAUCCGUAGAGAUAACUAGGAAUACCAAAAGCGAAGGCGAUCUUCUGGAACAGUACUGACGCUGAGGCGCGAAAGCGUGGGGAGCAAACAGGAUUAGAUACCCCAGUAGUCC
This 274-nucleotide ribosomal RNA is filed under the name uncultured bacterium. Its description in RNAcentral is "partial 16S ribosomal RNA". It matches the Rfam family "Bacterial small subunit ribosomal RNA", at positions 523 to 796 of the family's 1533-position model. The record is from RNAcentral.